This 774-nucleotide ribosomal RNA is filed under the name uncultured Neocallimastigales. RNAcentral's name for it is "partial large subunit ribosomal RNA". It matches the Rfam family "Eukaryotic large subunit ribosomal RNA", at positions 23 to 628 of the family's 3401-position model. The record is from RNAcentral. Lineage: Eukaryota; Fungi; Neocallimastigomycota; Neocallimastigomycetes; Neocallimastigales.
AUAGAGACUCAGAGCUGCAUAUCAAUAAGCGGAGGAAAAGAAACUAACUAGGAUUCCCUCAGUAACGGCGAGUGAAGCGGGAAGAGCUCAAAUUUGAAGUCUUCAAGGUUCUACCUUGACGAAUUGUAGUUUAAAGAAGUGUUUUCUGUUGGUGUUUUGGUAAAAGUUCUUUGGAAUAGGACAUCAUAGAGGGUGAGAAUCCCGUAUUUGACCAUUACUUCCAGCGUUGUGAUACACUUUCAAAGAGUCGGAUUGUUUGGGAAUGCAGUCCAAAAUGGGUGGUAAAUUUCAUCUAAAGCUAAAUAUUGGCGAGAGACCGAUAGCGAACAAGUACCGUGAGGGAAAGAUGAAAAGAACUUUGAAAAGAGAGUUAAACAGUACGUGAAAUUGUCAAAAGGGAAGCGUUUGACACCAGUGUUGUUUUUCCGAAAAUCAAUUAAAAAAGGCCGGAUUUUGUGUUGUAUUGACUUUAUCAGCUUUCUGCACUUUUUCUUGUCUUUUUUAAUGCACUUUUCGUUUAACAAGUCAACAUCAAUUUCUUUUGUUGUAAAAGGGUCAUUGGAAGGUGGCUUUCCUUUCGGAGAAAGUGUUUAUAGCCUUUGGCCUCUAGCAAUCGGAGAGAUUGAGGUCUGCAGCGUAGAUCCUUCGGGGUUAGAUACAUUUGUGCUAAGCUAUAGCCUUGUAUAGACAACUUGUUGACUAUGCUCAGUCAUGUAGCUUACUCGCUUAUGCUAUUUUACCUACGCUUAGGAUGUUGACGAUCAGCUGAGCGCG